Molecule: microRNA precursor, 57 nt
Filed under: Eisenia fetida (common brandling worm)
Lineage: Eukaryota; Metazoa; Annelida; Clitellata; Crassiclitellata; Lumbricidae
Description: Efe-Mir-2-o22_pre stem-loop
Source: RNAcentral
UGGUGAAGGUGGUUGUGAUACGUUGCUUGGUGUCGUAUCACAGCCGCUUUGACUGGU